This 524-nucleotide ribosomal RNA is filed under the name uncultured bacterium. RNAcentral describes it as "partial 16S ribosomal RNA". It matches the Rfam family "Bacterial small subunit ribosomal RNA", at positions 28 to 523 of the family's 1533-position model. The record is from RNAcentral.
GACGAACGCUGGCGGCGUGCCUAAUACAUGCAAGUCGAGCGCAGGAAACUGACGGAACUCUUCGGAGGGAAGGCAGUGGAAUGAGCGGCGGACGGGUGAGUAACACGUAAGGAACCUGCCUCAAGGAUUGGGAUAACUCCGAGAAAUCGGAGCUAAUACCGGAUAGUUCAACGGACCGCAUGGUCCGUUGAUGAAAGGCGCUCCGGCGUCACCUUGAGAUGGCCUUGCGGUGCAUUAGCUAGUUGGUGGGGUAACGGCUCACCAAGGCGACGAUGCAUAGCCGACCUGAGAGGGUGAUCGGCCACACUGGGACUGAGACACGGCCCAGACUCCUACGGGAGGCAGCAGUAGGGAAUCUUCCACAAUGGACGAAAGUCUGAUGGAGCAACGCCGCGUGAGUGAUGAAGGUUUUCGGAUCGUAAAACUCUGUUGUAAGGGAAGAACACGUACGAGAGGAAAUGCUCGUACCUUGACGGUACCUUACGAGAAAGCCACGGCUAACUACGUGCCAGCAGCCGCGGUAA